Bombina bombina (fire-bellied toad) is the source of this 1872-nucleotide long non-coding RNA. RefSeq lists it as uncharacterized. The record is from RefSeq and is a predicted model, not a curated record. NCBI's taxonomy places the organism in Eukaryota, Metazoa, Chordata, Amphibia, Anura, Bombinatoridae. The transcript is spliced from 8 exons.
CCUGUCUCACACACGCUCUUCCUCUCAUGCUCAGUCUAUUUUUUCCCUUUUCUUAUGUUUAUCAAGGAUUCCCAGAUACGGACCCGAAUUGGCUGAGGACUCACAGUGUUCUCCCACUCAGCGAUCCCAAAUCGUGAAGGUCAUAAUGGGAAUUGGAAGUCAUUUGCACAGUAGAGAAUCAAGGCCCUACUAUGAAACUAAGAAAAAGAAAAAGCAAUGUUUGGAAGAGCUUACGGCUACUACAGGUCAACUCCUGAUUGAAAUACGGAAAGAAGCAAUAUUUUUUAUACAAUGAAUUCUUCCUCAAGAGCUGUUUUGUACCAGGAACAAUAAGUGGAUCAAUUCUAUCUUAUUGUUACCAAAGCCCACUUGAAUAAGUUCCAGAAAGCCAAGACUGAAACAGUGAAAAUAAACAUGUGCUCUUUAGCAUAAUGCAUAUCCUGAUGUCAGGGAUACAAUUCUUGUCAGAGAGAACUACGCCAAAAUAAUGAAUAGGGUGUGAAAUGGUUUAAAAGGAUAGACCAGAGGACAGGUGUUUACUUCUUCAGGCAACUGAAAACCCAAAAAAUCAAAACAAUGUAUGUGAGCUGAGAUCCUGGAAUUAGCAGGGAUGCAGGAUUCCUUGCUACAGUCUGAUUUCUGCUUCUUAGUCUGUUGUUUCAGGUACCUGCAGAUGGUCAUGGAUCUAUCAUAAAUUUAAUGGUGGGGAUCUGCUUUUUGGAAAGGAGACAUGAAUGGAUUUUAUAAAAAAUAAUAAUACAGAGAUCCACAUUUUGGAAAGAGUCCUACAAAACAGGAGGGAUAUGUUAUUGUCUUGUUAUAAGGGAAUGAGAUGACAUUUUCUAAACCUUAUUUCCAGUGGUUAGGAUUUGGAGAAAUCAUUUUUCAAAGCUUUUCUUUGUACAUUUAACACAACACAUAUAAGUAAUAUAAAUUAAUAUUAACUAUUUCAAAUCAUCAGCCUAAGACAUUGAAAGUAAAAAACAAAAUCCAAUAUCCAUAAAAUAUCUAAUAUGUGUAUGAGCCCAUAAUUAUUCUGGUACCCAUAGAUUCGCUGUUACAGAGAGAUACGCUAUGCACAUUUACUGCUCCUAUAUGGAAUUAAUUUGGACUAACAUAUUGGAUAUUUUAUGGACUUUCAAUAGCUUUGACUGAUGAUUUACAUUUCUCUUUUUUUUUUACACACAUUUUUUUUUGUGCCAUUUAUUUUUUAUACUUAAUAUUAACUAUUUUUUCACUAAACCAUAAAUCAAGAUAACUGGUAUAGUAUGUUUGCUUUUAGUAUUUCAAAUUUAGAUUAUUAUUUUUUUAUUAUUUGCAAAUCCCAUUAUUUGUAAUGAUACUAAAUGUCACAAAAGUGUAGCCUGUGUGUAACUUUUUUUUUUUUUUAAAUAAAAUGUUAUAUGAGAUAGGGCUAUAAUAUGCCACAUAGUCAAGACUACUGGACUUUAAACCCGUUAUCUAAAAUACUUGUUUAUACUGUCUUCUGUACUUUGAGCUAAUUAAGUAGUUACGUUUUUCAAUCACAAAAGAACAUCUAAGAUUACAUAUACCAUUAUUCAUAUUACAAAGGUUUCUAAUGUUUUUCUAUCUUGUAAAAUAAUUUGUAGAAACCAGUGUUUAAAUAUGAUUUAUUGCAAAAAAGUAAGCAACUUAAUACAUAUCUUUGUAAGAUCAACUGUUUACAUUAGGUUUAUUGAAUAUAAAUAGGAAUUGCUGAUUAAAUAGAGAUAUUGGUUUGUCAUGAUGUAUUUUAAGUCAUUGUAAAUAUAUAUCAAGUUUGGCAAUAAAACAUUUACAGGAUGUAUGUAUAAAUAUUGUUUUGUUGCAUCUCACCUGAAAUAAAUCAAUACAAAGUUUAAUAAAAAAGAA